Molecule: long non-coding RNA, 449 nt
Filed under: Rattus norvegicus (Norway rat)
Lineage: Eukaryota; Metazoa; Chordata; Mammalia; Rodentia; Muridae
Description: long non-coding RNA NONRATT033227
Source: RNAcentral
CCCUGAAUUUCCAGGCUCCUCCUGUUGGCCUUCAGCCCUGUGAACAACCUCAGUAGACCUCCAGCCAGCCGUGAUAACCCUGCCCAAAACAUGGCUGUGUUUGAAACAGAAUCGGAUCGGACGUUAGAUCUUGCUUACAUCGCAGUGACAAGUGCCAGCUUCACAGGGUUGUUGAAUUCCAACAGUCCUGUCGUGGGUGUGCCAAGUAUUGUGGGAGAAUUUCUUUUAUGAGGAUAUCUACGUGGUAUCAGCAUGUAUAAUCCUGGUAAGCCGUCAAUCAAUAGCAAAGUCAUUUUAAGGCGAAUCGUAGAAAUAGAAAUGUCCCUUGAUAAUAUGACUGUCCUAGCUUUGCCCAGAUAACACCUAAGUCAAAAUCAUGAACUUACUUUCUUUCUUUUUUUUUUUUUUUUUUUUUGGUUCUUUUUUUCGGAGCUGGGGACCGAACCCAG